GACGAACGCUGGCGGCGUGCUUAACACAUGCAAGUCGAACGGAAAGGCCCUUCGGGGUACUCGAGUGGCGAACGGGUGAGUAACACGUGGGUGAUCUGCCCUGCACUUUGGGAUAAGCCUGGGAAACUGGGUCUAAUACCGAAUAUGAUCAUGGCCUUCAUGGGUUGUGGUGGAAAGCUUUUGCGGUGUGGGAUGGGCCCGCGGCCUAUCAGCUUGUUGGUGGGGUAAUGGCCUACCAAGGCGACGACGGGUAGCCGGCCUGAGAGGGUGUCCGGCCACACUGGGACUGAGAUACGGCCCAGACUCCUACGGGAGGCAGCAGUGGGGAAUAUUGCACAAUGGGCGCAAGCCUGGUGCAGCGACGCCGCGUGAGGGAUGACGGCCUUCGGGUUGUAAACCUCUUUCAGCAGGGACGAAGCGCAAGUGACGGUACCUGUAGAAGAAGGACCGGCCAACUACGUGCCAGCAGCCGCGGUAAUACGUAGGGUCCGAGCGUUGUCCGGAAUUACUGGGCGCAAAGAGCUCGUAGGUGGUUUGUCGCGUUGUUCGUGAAAACUCACAGCUUAACUGUGGGCGUGCGGGCGAUACGGGCAGACUUGAGUACUGCAGGGGAGACUGAAAUUCCUGGUGUAGCGGUGGAAUGCGCAGAUAUCAGGAGGAACACCGGUGGCGAAGGCGGGUCUCUGGGCAGUAACUGACGCUGAGGAGCGAAAGCGUGGGGAGCGAACAGGAUUAGAUACCCUGGUAGUCCACGCCGUAAACGGUGGGUACUAGGUGUGGGUUUCCUUCCUUGGGAUCCGUGCCGUAGCUAACGCAUUAAGUACCCCGCCUGGGGAGUACGGCCGCAAGGCUAAAACUCAAAGAAAUUGACGGGGGCCCGCACAAGCGGCGGAGCAUGUGGAUUAAUUCGAUGCAACGCGAAGAACCUUACCUGGGUUUGACAUGCACAGGACGUGCCUAGAGAUAGGUAUUCCCUUGUGGCCUGUGUGCAGGUGGUGCAUGGCUGUCGUCAGCUCGUGUCGUGAGAUGUUGGGUUAAGUCCCGCAACGAGCGCAACCCUUAUCUUAUGUUGCCAGCGCGUAAUGGCGGGGACUCGUGAGAGACUGCCGGGGUCAACUCGGAGGAAGGUGGGGAUGACGUCAAGUCAUCAUGCCCCUUAUGUCCAGGGCUUCACACAUGCUACAAUGGCCGGUACAAAGGGCUGCGAUGCCGUGAGGUGGAGCGAAUCCUUUCAAAGCCGGUCUCAGUUCGGAUCGGGGUCUGCAACUCGACCCCGUGAAGUCGGAGUCGCUAGUAAUCGCAGAUCAGCAACGCUGCGGUGAAUACGUUCCCGGGCCU
Molecule: ribosomal RNA, 1338 nt
Filed under: uncultured bacterium
Lineage: Bacteria
Description: bacterial SSU rRNA
Rfam family: Bacterial small subunit ribosomal RNA
Source: RNAcentral